This is a long non-coding RNA of Aegilops tauschii subsp. strangulata, 1718 nucleotides long. RefSeq lists it as uncharacterized. The record is from RefSeq and is a predicted model, not a curated record. NCBI's taxonomy places the organism in Eukaryota, Viridiplantae, Streptophyta, Magnoliopsida, Poales, Poaceae.
UUUACAUAGUGUUGCUUGGUUCUCCUACUGAUUCGAUAAUCUUGGUCUCAUCACUUAGGGAAAUACCUACCGUAGCUGUGCUGCAUCAUCCCUUCCUCUUCAGGGAAAAUACUGACGCGGACACGACCCAUCAGGCAUUAGUCCAGAUCUUUUUGUCCCUGUUGCAGAACCGGGACUAAAGGCCCUCUAGAAGCGGGACUGAUGCCCUGUUUUCUACUAGUGAUGACUUAGGAAUCCGCAAGACCAUGGUUAAUAAUGUGCCAACUGUUGGCUAUAUGGUGUUGCCAUGUCAUAUAUAGCCACCACUUAUAGUCACUCAUACAAUAUGGUUAUCUAUAAGGUUGGCUAUAAGAGUACUACUUUUUCUCAUCUUCUCUCUAUCUCUUUCUUCAUAUUUAUUGUAUUGACCUAAGAAUCUGCAUAUAGCUAGGUUCUUGCAUGAGAGCCCACUCUCCUUACUUUUUCAUGUCUUUCUUCUCCACAUAGGCAAAAUUGCCACAUAAGCGAGCUAUAAGCCUGCUAUUGUACUUGCUCUAAGCACCUCUAGAUGAGAAACACUAUGCACAACCCAUUCUAGCAAGGCUAACGUACAAACUCCCGUAUGUAUGUGUAUGAGUGAAAUUGACAUUUCAUGUAACACUCAUGUUGGAUUUGUGAUGAUCUACGACAUGUACUACAUCUGAAAUGAUGCUUCUUGUUCAACGCUCGAUAAUGCUUUACAUAAUUAACGUGAUCCUCAUGUCCAACACUCGAUGAUACUUUUCAUAAUUAACGUGAUCCCCCAUCUAAAAAAUAAUGCUCUUCAUAAUUACCGCGACCCUCCCAUCCAACGCUAGACGAUACUUUUCAUAAUUAGCGCAAUCCUCCCAUCCAAUGCUUGAUAAUACUUUCUGUAAUUAACAUGAUCCUCCCAUACAAAGUAUGAUACUCUCAAUAAUUAAUACGAUCUUCCCGUCCAAAGAAUAUGAUACUCUCCAUAAAUUAACGCAUUUUUUAAUGUAAAGAUUUGAUUAGAUUAUUCCAAGUUAAAUUAGCGGCUAGGAGGCGAACGUAAAAACUCCUCUUUAAUAGUAGAGAUACAUAAUGUGUUUGCAUAUUCGUGAAAAAAACAAAAUCUUGACAUUAAAAGUGCCAAGAUUUCGGUAAUCUGUCUUUUUGAUUUUGAUUAAUGACGCGCUUUUAUUUCAAGUGUAUGCAUGGAUUGUUGAGUAUGUAUAAAACGAGGACACCCCCUGCGGGGUUACGAGCAGCAGACGAGCACGCCUAGCACUGUCUCACUCCCUCCAUGGCCAGGUCCAUGAACACCUUCCAUACAGCAGUGGUACUCUCGGUGCUUCUUUUCAUCUGCUUUGCUAACCACGGGCAAUGCAGAAACUUGGAGCAAGUCAUGGAAAACGGCAGCAAGGUCCACUUACCAUACGGGCUCUGCCAACCUAGAACCUGCGUAGAUAUGCCGGAUUGUUACUGCUGUUCGAUAGACAACACCUGCCACCCUUCGAGUGAAACAUGCAUUAAAGCUUGUCAAAGCUCUUUCUCCACACGUGUUUUCCGCAGCCCUCCCAUCUAAUCUUUACAUGCAUUGCAUGGCUUAAUUCUGGAAUAAUGUGUAAUUUUUAUUGCUCGGUUGCUCCACGAUCCGAGUUUUCGAGUGUUGAGAAUUGAAAAGUUCUGUUGCGUUCCUCAUCACAAAAUAAAUAGAUAUAUGUUGUGUUAAUCUA